RNAcentral lists this non-coding RNA (898 nucleotides) under Goniopecten demonstrans. Lineage: Eukaryota; Metazoa; Echinodermata; Asteroidea; Paxillosida; Goniopectinidae. The record is from RNAcentral.
ACCGAUUUGGUCCUAGUCCUAUUCUUGAUUCUUUCUAAAAUGAUACAUGCUAGUCCCUAACACCACGGUGAGUUAAUUUGGAAUAUCAUUCUUCUAAAAGUAAUCAUUCCAUUAAGGUAUCAGGUUUAUACCAUAAACCCACUACACCAAGUAAUCCACACCUGCAGUACUAAAUAUUAUACAAUAAGCACACGCUUGAUAUAGUUAUAGAAAAAAGGGCUGGUAAAUUAUGUGCCAGCCACCGCGGUUAUACAUAAAACCCCAAUCAAGAACCCCCGGUCUAAAAGUGGUUAAAAAUUUAUAAAAAUAUAAGGAAAAACUAACUCUAGUAGUAAUAAGCUUCACAGAAAGGUUAACCACUAAUUAAUCACCUUAUGUCAUAUUUACACCCUCAUUUUUGAAGCCACCAGAGCUCUAACCUAAACUGGGAUUAGAUACCCCAUUAUAUGAGCUAUAAAAACAAAAUACCUGAGAACUACGAACUAAAGUNNNNNNNNNNNNNNNNNNNNNNNNUUUUUAGAUCUACCUGGAGGAGCUUGCUAUCUAACCGAUAACCCACGAUAAACCUUACCAGCCUUAGAAAAAUCCAACUUGUAUACCAUCGUCGUCAGUCUACUUCUCAAGAAAGUAUACACAAUGAAAAAUUUCUUCUUUACGUCAGAUCGAGGUGCAGUUCAUAAGCUGGGGAUAAGUGAGCUACAAUAAUUAAACCAUAAACCUAAUUUUGAACAACUUUAUGAAAAUAAAAGUUUGAAACAGGAUUCAGAAGUAAUUCCCAUCAGAAAAUGGUAAUAAACAACUAAGCUCUAAAAUGCGCACACAUCGCCCGUCACUCUCGUCCACAGAGGAGAAAAGUCGUAACAUAGUAGGCGUAUUGGAAAAUGUGCCUGGAAUUAAA